UACGGGGGGGGCAAGCGUUGUUCGGAAUUACUGGGCGUAAAGGGCUCGUAGGUGGCCAACUAAGUCAGACGUGAAAUCCCUCAGCUUAACUGGGGAACUGCGUCUGAUACUGGAUGGCUUGAGUUUGGGAGAGGGAUGCGGAAUUCCUGGUGUAGCGGUGAAAUGCGCAGAUAUCAGGAGGAACACCGGUGGCGAAGGCGGGUCUCUGGGCCGAUACUGACGCUGAGGAGCGAAAGCGUGGGGAGCGAACAGG
This 253-nucleotide ribosomal RNA is filed under the name uncultured bacterium. Its description in RNAcentral is "partial 16S ribosomal RNA". It matches the Rfam family "Bacterial small subunit ribosomal RNA", at positions 524 to 776 of the family's 1533-position model. The record is from RNAcentral.